RNAcentral lists this ribosomal RNA (253 nucleotides) under uncultured bacterium. RNAcentral describes it as "partial 16S ribosomal RNA". It matches the Rfam family "Bacterial small subunit ribosomal RNA", at positions 524 to 776 of the family's 1533-position model. The record is from RNAcentral.
UACGGAGGGUGCAAGCGUUAUCCGGAUUCACUGGGUUUAAAGGGUGCGUAGGCGGACAGGUAAGUCAGUGGCGAAAUCUCCGAGCUUAACUCGGAAACUGCCGUUGAUACUAUUUGUCUUGAAUAUUGUGGAGGUAAGCGGAAUAUGUCAUGUAGCGGUGAAAUGCGUAGAUAUCGGGAGGAACACCAGUGGCGAAGGCGAUCAUCUGGGGUUGUUCUGACACUGAGGAGCGAAAGCUAGGGGAGCAAACGGG